AUCCAUCUGACAAAUCCCAAACGGGACGAAACGCGCGUCCUGAAU
Schistosoma mansoni is the source of this 45-nucleotide non-coding RNA. The record is from Rfam. Lineage: Eukaryota; Metazoa; Platyhelminthes; Trematoda; Strigeidida; Schistosomatidae.